This 317-nucleotide ribosomal RNA is filed under the name uncultured Pseudomonadota bacterium. RNAcentral describes it as "bacterial SSU rRNA". It matches the Rfam family "Bacterial small subunit ribosomal RNA", at positions 29 to 351 of the family's 1533-position model. Lineage: Bacteria; Pseudomonadati; Pseudomonadota. The record is from RNAcentral.
AUUGAACGCUGGCGGCAUGCCUUACACAUGCAAGUCGAACGCGAAAGGGGGCAACCCCGAGUAGAGUGGCGAACGGGUGAGCAAUACAUCGGAACACGUCCUGUAGCGGGGGACAACCCGAGAAAUCGGGGCUAAUACCGCAUACGAUCCAAGGAUGAAAGUGGGGGACCGCAAGGCCCCACACUAUAGGAGUGGCCGAUGCCGGAUUAGCUAGUUGGCGGGGUAAUAGCCCACCAAGGCUACGAUCCGUAGCUGGUUUGAGAGAACGACCAGCCACACUGGGACUGAGACACGGCCCAGACUCCUACGGGUGGCAG